CCUUGAAAUACCACCCUUUAAUGUUUGAUGUUCUAACGUUGACCCGUAAUCCGGGUUGCGGACAGUGUCUGGUGGGUAGUUUGACUGGGGCGGUCUCCUCCUAAAGAGUAACGGAGGAGCACGAAGGUUGGCUAAUCCUGGUCGGACAUCAGGAGGUUAGUGCAAUGGCAUAAGCCAGCUUGACUGCGAGCGUGACGGCGCGAGCAGGUGCGAAAGCAGGUCAUAGUGAUCCGGUGGUUCUGAAUGGAAGGGCCAUCGCUCAACGGAUAAAAGGUACUCCGGGGAUAACAGGCUGAUACCGCCCAAGAGUUCAUAUCGACGGCGGUGUUUGGCACCUCGAUGUCGGCUCAUCACAUCCUGGGGCUGAAGUAGGUCCCAAGGGUAUGGCUGUUCGCCAUUUAAAGUGGUACGCGAGCUGGGUUUAGAACGUCGUGAGACAGUUCGGUCCCUAUCUGCCGUGGGCGCUGGAGAACUGAGGGGGGCUGCUCCUAGUACGAGAGGACCGGAGUGGACGCAUCACUGGUGUUCGGGUUGUCAUGCCAAUGGCACUGCCCGGUAGCUAAAUGCGGAAGAGAUAAGUGCUGAAAGCAUCUAAGCACGAAACUUGCCCCGAGAUGAGUUCUCCCUGAC
RNAcentral lists this ribosomal RNA (630 nucleotides) under Escherichia coli. RNAcentral's name for it is "partial 23S ribosomal RNA". It matches the Rfam family "Bacterial large subunit ribosomal RNA", at positions 2190 to 2819 of the family's 2925-position model. Lineage: Bacteria; Pseudomonadati; Pseudomonadota; Gammaproteobacteria; Enterobacterales; Enterobacteriaceae. The record is from RNAcentral.